UUGGGAGAAAAUUUCAACUUCUCCUUAAUUAUAUUUCCCACCCAUCCCCUUGUUGCUCGAUAUCCGGCUUUCACGGCAGCUCCUUCACAUGUAUGGGUUUUAUUCAUUUUCUUAAUACAUAUCAGCUGGGUGGUAGCCAACCUUGAUGCAUAUAUACGCCAAAGACAACCCUCAGACUUGCAUUUAACCGUUACUCUGUGACUAUCAUUCUUCUUAUAUUUAUAUGUAAAGCCAUGGGCAAUUGAGUACUUAUGUAAGGCUUCACGAAACUCAGUAAAACUACUGAAUCUUUGGUCCACACCAGUAAUAGUGUUUUCCCACUGUGUAGCUGCCCUACGGUGCUU
Molecule: long non-coding RNA, 344 nt
Filed under: Solanum pimpinellifolium
Lineage: Eukaryota; Viridiplantae; Streptophyta; Magnoliopsida; Solanales; Solanaceae
Description: long non-coding RNA (SPIM_LNC000111)
Source: RNAcentral